This 253-nucleotide ribosomal RNA is filed under the name uncultured bacterium. Its description in RNAcentral is "partial 16S ribosomal RNA". It matches the Rfam family "Bacterial small subunit ribosomal RNA", at positions 524 to 776 of the family's 1533-position model. The record is from RNAcentral.
UACGUAGGGGGCAAGCGUUGUCCGGAUUUAUUGGGCGUAAAGAGCGUGUAGGCGGCUUUGCAAGUCCGUUGUGAAAACUCGAGGCUCAACCUCGAGACGCCGGUGGAAACUGCAAAGCUAGAGUCUGGAAGAGGAGAGUGGAAUUCCUGGUGUAGCGGUGAAAUGCGCAGAUAUCAGGAAGAACACCCGUGGCGAAGGCGGCUCUCUGGGACGGUACUGACGCUGAGACGCGAAAGCGUGGGGAGCGAACAGG